Molecule: non-coding RNA, 2729 nt
Organism: Malus domestica (apple)
Lineage: Eukaryota; Viridiplantae; Streptophyta; Magnoliopsida; Rosales; Rosaceae
Source: RefSeq, a predicted model, not a curated record
AAAAAUAAAAUAUAAUUUAUAAAUGCAAAAUGAAAGGUUUAAGAGAGAAAGGGGGCCUCGCUAAAGAUAUUUGCUCCAAAGGCCGAAGCUCAGAGCUUUCUCUGAUUUGCAGAGAGUAUCCAAAGGACAGACAAUUGGGGAGAGAGAGACAGAGAGAGAGAGAGAGAGAGAACUGCGAAGAACAGAAACAGAGAGUUCGGAGUUACAGUUAGAGAGAAAGAGAUAGAGAGAGAGAGAGAGAGAGAGAGAGAGAGAGAGAGAGAUUUUGAAAAUUCCAAGCAGGUCCUUUUUCUUCUUAUCCAAUCCGUAAGUCCCUCGCAUUUUUUUAAUCUCUCCUUUUUAGCAUGGUGUUAUUGUUUCUGGGUUAAUUAGAACUUAAACUCUGAUUUCCAUUGCUUUUUUUGCUCAAUAGAUUCGCUGGGUUUACAGAUUUUAAAGGUUCAACAUCGACCCGAUGUUCAUUUCUGAAAUACAUGAAUUUUCCUUUUUAUGUUUCUGGGUAUAAAUUAUCUGUGAAACUAUGGUUUUGAUUUGACUUUUGAAAGAAGAAAAGAAAAGGAUAACUGAAAGAUUGGUUUUUGAAGAAGACCCAUCUGGAUCGUUGGUCGAUUGGAUUUGGAAGGGUGAAAGUUCGACGGAUAGUUCUGAAAAAGUUAGACUUUCUUCAUCCGGUUCAUGCAAUCAGUGAUAACGAUUGGGUUUUUAUACUAUUUCUGACAAAUAAAUUUGAACUUCUUUUUACUUUUGAAUGGAAUCUGAUAGGUUGUAUUUUGACUGAAUUUUCCGAGGGACUUGGGGGAUUAGUUUUUUUCGAAAAUUUAUCUUUGGAAUUUUUCAAUUUCUUUUUACCCAGAGAUAGAGGCUUUUGGAUAGGAUUUGGGUCUGAAUUUGGUGGCCUUCCAUUGAUUGUUUCACGGAGAAAUGUUGGAGGAUCGGUCCUGCUUGCUUUCGAGGGUGUUUCCGAGCUUUUGCCAGCCUGAAAGCGAGUGGCCUUAUAUGACUUACCGCCGGCUCGAAGAUAUUGCCAACGGAAAGCGUCCAUUGGGGUUCGACGGCAGCGAGGAUGACGAAGAGCAUCGAGAGAGGAAGUUGUGUAAGCUGUUGGAUUGUUGUGACAUGGUGGAGACUGACAUGAAUCAGUCUUCGUGUGAGCAAUCGGACGAUCAGCAGCAUUCUGGGGUUCCUUCAGAUUCGGAUAACCUUAUACAUAGGAUUGGUAGGGAUAACUCGAUCAGCUGUCUAAUUCGCUGUUCUAGGUCUGAUUAUGGUCUCAUUGCCUCUUUGAACCAGAGCUUCCGCUCGUUAGUUAGGAGUGGGGAGCUCUAUAAACUGAGGAGGCAGAAUGAUGUCACUGAGCACUGGAUUUAUUUCUCUUGCGACCUACUUGAAUGGGAAGCCUUUGAUCCCAAUUCCGGCAGGUGGAUGCACUUGCCGAGGAUGAUUUCCAAUGAAUGUUUCAUGUGUUCCGAUAAGGAAUCUUGCGCUGUGGGAACUGAGCUUCUUGUAUUUGGUAAGGAGGUGACUUCCCAUGUAAUCUUUAGGUAUAGUAUUUUGACAAACUCAUGGUCUUCUGGAAUGAGGAUGAAUGCCCCGAGAUGCUUGUUUGGGUCUGCCAGCCUUAAGGAGAUUGCAAUUUUGGCAGGUGGUUGUGACUCUCAGGGAAAUAUACUCAGCUCCGCAGAGCUAUAUAAUUCUGAGACUCAGAGUUGGGAGAUGCUCCCGAGCAUGAAUAAGCCCCGGAAGAUGUGUUCUGGGGUUUUUAUGGAUGAAAAGUUCUAUGUUAUUGGUGGGAUUGGGGGAAGUGAUCCAAGGGUUCUUACAUGCGGUGAAGAAUAUGAUUUAAAGGCAAGAACAUGGACAGAAAUACCUAACAUGUCUCCUGGACGGAGUGGUGCAGCCAGAGAGAAUGAUGUGCCUGCAGGGGAGGCACCGCCUCUGGUUGCUGUGGUAAAUAAUGAAUUGUAUGCUGCUGACUAUGCUGACAUGGAGGUGAGGAAAUAUGACAAGGAGAGAAGAGUAUGGUUGACGGUGGGGAGAUUGCCUGAGCGGGCUGCCUCAAUGAAUGGUUGGGGUCUUGCAUUCAGGGCUUGUGGAGACCGGCUUAUUGUUAUCGGCGGGCCAAGGACUCUAGGCGAAGGUUUCAUAGAGAUCAAUGCAUGGGCUCCAGGUGAUGGCCCUCCACACUGGAACUUACUUGCCAGGAAGCAAUCGGGUCACUUUGUCUAUAAUUGUGCAGUGAUGGGGUGCUGAAGAUACGGAUGUACAAGAUUGGAUUGUCUGUCGACACAGGAGUCUUGCUAAUUGUUCUUGUGAAUUAUUGUGUGAAGAAAUAUUUAAUCUUCGUCGAUGUUUACGGUACUAAGGGUGCAAUGUGUGCGCUUUGAUUAUGUAUAAAGAACAAUGAAGGCAGAGGCAGACAAGAUAAUCUGAUGUCGAAAGACUCGGUGAUGCAUGCAGUUCCGGUUACAAUCGAUGUAAAAAAAUCCCGAUUUGGUAGCUUCUGAUCGAUGCGUGCCACAUUUUCCCCUUGUUAGCAAAACGAAAGUUCCUAACAUGUGUAUUUGUUUGAAGACCAUAGAUUCGGCACAACUUAGCGUUUUGUGAUUGUUCAGUUCUGAGUAGUUUUUCGGUGUAAUGUCAUUCCGCAGUUACGUGAUAUUAUCAAUUUACUCAUGUAUAACAUGUGGAUAUUGUUGUUCGUAUUAUGGAUCUACAGCGCUUGUUAACUA